Molecule: long non-coding RNA, 2004 nt
Organism: Saccostrea cuccullata (small rock oyster)
Lineage: Eukaryota; Metazoa; Mollusca; Bivalvia; Ostreida; Ostreidae
Exons: 2
Source: RefSeq, a predicted model, not a curated record
AAAGGCACUCAAACAGAAAAGGAAGUCAGAGUAUGAUUUCUGCUGAAGCUGGAACUUCUAAAUGUGCAAUGUUUAUGUGGUGCUUCUAAAGCAGACAGUCACUGCCAGCUGUCCGUAGCCUCGGUGUUCAGGUGUCAAGGACAUCUCCAAGACAACACAAGACUUGUGCUUGCCAGUAACUUGUUAAGCAGCUGACCAUGUAAAUCCAGGUGUGGGUGAAGAAUCUGAUGAAUUAUACCCACAUUUUUGGCAAGCUACACUAGAUAUGUGUUUUCAUGGAUGUGAGAGACUCUGUUUUCUGUUACAUUAAUAUUGAUUGUGCAUGCCAAAAUAAACUAUUAUUCAAUACAGUGUGUUAUAAAAAACAAAUUUGUAUACUUGAAAAAUCUAGAUUUUGUUUAGAUUUUUAAUCAAAAAAAUAGAAUAUUUUAUAAUCUGCUUUUAUAGCCCAAUUUGGGUGACCAUCUGUAGGUUUUUCCAAUCUAACAAUUGGAGCUACCCAGUUCUCUUAUACUCAACCUCUCCUAUACAGUGAAUAAGAUUCCCAGAAUAUUUGUCACCUAGUGUCAUUGUGAACCUCCUGUUUUUCUUUUCCAUCGAAUAUCUACUUCAUACAUAAACUCUUAUUUUGAAAUACAAUAAAGAUAGAGAUAGACAAUCCACUUGCAAAUUAUCAAUUGUUUUUGACAAUUUGUAUCUUCGACGAUAUUUUCAUAAUAAUUCCUGAUUUAAUCAUGUUAAUCGAAUCAUUUAGCAUUAAUGACUGUAAAAAUGAUUGUAGAAGUUUAUUGCAUAGUUCAUGUAAAAAAGUUUCAAUUUAUCAAUAUUAUUUAAUCUAUAAUUACAUAGACUUAUAGGAGAGAUAUGAGUGGGUUAUGAUUCCACAUUCAGAGUGCUGUUUAUUUUCUCUUAUGAAUGAAAUAUUUUUAUCUGUCCAGAAAACCUUUGUCUGUACAGUUCUAGUACAUGCAUUAUUUAUUUUUGGUGUAUAAAAGUCAUUGCUGAGAUUUAUCAGUUGUUUGUUUGUAUGUGCAUUGUUAAAGAACAUAUUCAGUGAACAAAAUAAGCCAAUUUAUAUGUGCAUUAAAGUAUCAUGUAUUUUGUAUAUAUUGUUAAUGAGAGGUUGUAAGUGUAGUAAAUUAAGAAAGAAGUUGUUUUAUAAAUAUCUAAUUAAUGAUUUGUUGGAAAAUAAGUGUGUGUUUUUUUUUUAAUUCUAGGAAAAAUUCAGGCUGACCACAUUUCAUAAAAGGACGGUAGUUCUUUCUGUCCUCCAAUUGUUUAGAUUUUGAUAUUUUUUGCUUCAUAGAAUUGAUCAGAACAAAAGUCUGCUUCAUAGCCAAUGUGAAAGGGCUAGAUUAAAAUGAUUUUAGUUGACUUAUUGGAUGUCAGGGAAAAAGAUACCAAUGAUACUCACUAUUUUUAUUGCAUAGGUCAACACAAGUAAACAUAAAUGCUUGUUUAUUUUAUGAAAUGAAACAUAAACAAAAAGGACAAUAUUAGCUGCACUGAUACUGUAAUGACUAGCUAAAAGCAAUCAGGUUUAACAAAUUUAAAGGGUCUAUAUUACCGAGUGCUAAUAUAAGAAAUGAGAAAACCAAAAUGAUGUUUCCUUUUUAUGUGUCGUGUUCAGUUUUAAUCUACAAUGAAAAGAUAUGUACCGGUACAUGUAGAUUUAUAUAAACAAGAAACUUUUCAGAUGAGAAGAUCACCAUUACUAUGUUAAUACAUGUAUACAAAUCAACAAAUACAUGUAAUUUUACAUACCUCUCUACUAGAUUUUUUAAAGAGCAUGAAGUUUAGCUACUAAAAAAAACUAUUUAUAGAUAUAUUAAUGUUACAUUUUUUUUUCUUUUGUCAUUAAAUUUAGAUGUCAUUGAAUUUCUACUUAAAGGGGUCUUGUUGAUCAAAAUGUCUAAAAACCAUGAAAUCCUGAAAAAUUGUUGAUAUUGAAAUGCAUCCUUUUUCCUUUGUACAUACAAAUGAAAUUAAAUUUAUAAUACUGCA